CCUCUAGUGCGUGGUGUUGGGAUGUGCUUUGGCAUGUGCUCGACUCUGGCACGACUGGCCGUGGUAAACGGUCGGAGGCUUGAGGCAAUAACAGGUCUGUGAUGCCCUUUGAUGUUCUGGGCUGCACGCGCGCUACACUGACAGAGGCAGCGAGUGGCCUGCGCCGGGAGGCGUGGGGAAUCUUGUGAAACUGUGUCGUGCUGGGGAUGGACCGUUGCAAUUGUUGGUCCUGAACGAGGAAUUCCUAGUAAGCGCGAGUCAUCAGCUCGCGUUGAUUACGUCCCUGCCCUUUGUACACACCGCCCGUCGCUACUACCGAUUGGAUGGCUUAGUGAGGUGUGUGGAUGGGGGGGUUGGGGGCUUUGGCGCCUGAUCUCUGCAAAAACACAGCAAACUUGGUGAUCUAGAGGAAGUAAAAGUCG
This 422-nucleotide ribosomal RNA is filed under the name Microsporidia sp. clade VIII. Its description in RNAcentral is "SSU rRNA". It matches the Rfam family "Eukaryotic small subunit ribosomal RNA", at positions 1341 to 1791 of the family's 1831-position model. Lineage: Eukaryota; Fungi; Microsporidia. The record is from RNAcentral.